This 511-nucleotide long non-coding RNA is filed under the name Megachile rotundata (alfalfa leafcutting bee). RNAcentral describes it as "uncharacterized LOC105662576, transcript variant X3". The record is from RNAcentral. Lineage: Eukaryota; Metazoa; Arthropoda; Insecta; Hymenoptera; Megachilidae.
UCCUGGUGUCCUGGAAGACCGCUAUUAAUCGCAGAAUUUCCCCAGCUCUGAUUGUAGUCUUCGUAUAAUGAGCUCGCAGAUUACCGUUUUCUAUUGGUGAAGUUGUUGAGAUAAAGAAUAUAAUAUUUCAAGUGAGCUGUUUCUGGAUGUAAAUAUUGCAGAUUUGGAAAGGUAUCAACAAUUGGCUGUUACAAAAUGACUGAACUCAGAUAGAAGAUAAACGGAAGUGUAAUAAAAUCAAAACGAAAUUGAUGGGGUACGGUAUUUAAAAAUUGUUGACACGUACUGCAAGCAUAGUUGGAUAAAACAUUGCGCAUCUUGGCGCGCAAUUUGAACAACUUUGUCAACGAGAAAUCAUUUUUAUUAUUAAAAUGAAUGAAAUGAUUAAAAUAUCUACCUGUUUUUGUGCAUAUGUAUUUUGAAAACUGUAAAUAAACGAGGGGUAAGUAAUUCUCGUGACUUCAUUUACAUUUGGCGCGAAGUGCGCAUCUUGGCGCGCAAUUUGAACGAC